Molecule: long non-coding RNA, 4424 nt
Organism: Tyto alba (common barn owl)
Lineage: Eukaryota; Metazoa; Chordata; Aves; Strigiformes; Tytonidae
Exons: 5
Source: RefSeq, a predicted model, not a curated record
CGCCCCCCCCCUCCCCCCGGUUUGACACCCCCUCCCGCCCCGCUCCGCCCUCCUCCCCGCCCCGCCGGUUGUCCCUCCGUAAACGGAAGCCGAGGAGGGACGAAGGAGCCGGGGAGGAGGUUGGAGCAGCGCGAUGGGGGACUCCAAAGUGAAGGUGGCGGUGCGCGUCCGCCCCACGAACCGGCGAGUUUGUAAAUUCAUAGCGGCCGAGAGUCAUGAAUGCCUCACAACUGGUGACUGCAGAGCUAGAAAAUGGAAUGACAACAGCUCAGCAGCCGCUUUAGAGACAGCCAGCGUGGCUUCGCCGAGGGCAAAUCGUGCCCGACUAAUCCAGCGGCCUUCCAUGAUGGAGUGACGGCAUUAGAGGACGAGGGAAGAGCUACGGAUGUCACCUGCCUGGAGGACGUCAGUGAGGCACGGACAGUUUUGCAGGCAUCCAUGAGUGAAGGACCAGAGUACCUCAAUCUGUCCCUUCAACAAUCCUUCCCCGCUCCAUGUUUUCAAUUGGAAACCGCACCAGUGAGCUCCUAAAUCCAGGUAUCAUGUACACCAGUGAAGCGGAGGUCUGGAAGCAGAGACAGAAGCAAGGUCUAAGUAUCAGAGCUGGGCUUCAUUUUCCCAGCGGCGCCUCUGCAGAAGUGGAGCAAAACCAACAUGAUUCAGCAGAUGAAGCUGUAAAAUAUUCCAACCUUUGAAGUCAAGGCAGUUCAGCCCUGACCAUUCAUGUAUCUCAGAAGUACUAGGAGAUAAACGCGGGAAACAUUACACAGCUCGGUAAAUAUGCGUUCAUCAGAGUACCCGUAAUUGCCAUUGUGUUGGGAUUUUUGCUUUUAUAGAACUACAAACUUGUCUUACAACUGCUAGAAACGCUCUCCCGCUAAUUUUGUAUUUUUCAAGUUCUUCAGAGAUUCUCCAUUUUCUCCAAAGACAGAAAAUCUAUUUUCCUUUCAAACAAAGGAAAUCCAGUGUGGAGUCUUUACCUGAGGAAAGAAACUCUCAAAGAAAAUGUAACACGGCUGGUAAAACCAGUUGCUCUGAAACACUCUGUAUCAGCAAACUGAACAGCUGAUAAGAAUAAUAGAAAUUUUUAGUCAAUGAGAAAAUACUCAUCAGGAACCUCAUCCUACCAGCACAAAAUUUGCUAAUAUUGCCUGGCCUUGCGUUGCUGCCAGAAGUAUGAAUUUGUACUGAAAUCCCACUGUAUGGGAGAAGCACCCCAGCCAAAGUGUAAGAAAUUUCACUGCUAUAAACAGGGCACAUAUGGGGUUUAUGGAGACAUCGGGGUCUGGCUAUUGAUUUGUGCUUUCCUCUGGGUAAUACAUGUCCUAUAAUGCCAUGAGAUUUAUGACCAGGACUUUGAACUCUGGAAUAACUUUUAAAAAGAGGGGGCUGUCUAUAAAAAGUGUGGUUCGGGUUUUAAUCUGUUAUAAUCUAGUGCCGCAAGAAGACUUCGAGAGUUCAUUUAUUUGGCCGUGAAUACUUUUCACACUGAGACUAGGAGGCCACACUCAAAUACCUUCAAAAGUUCAUGCCAGGAUCAGUGAAAUUCAGAGUCACGAAUGACCCAGGGAACAAUCAAUCCUUUGAUUAUAGGAAGUUCCUAUUAAAAUAAUGGAGCACAGAAAGUGCCUUGCUAAAAUGAAUGUGAGUCUCCCAAACCUGUACAUUUGCGCAAAGUGUUGGCUGAGAAAUUUCAGCAAUUCCUUUUAAAAAAAAAAAAAAACCAAACAAACAACAAAAAACAAAAAGCAGACAACAUUUUGAUAUCAAGCAGAGUUUUGACAACUGAUUUGGAUAAAUUGAAUUUCUCUUUUAUCCAGAUUUCUUGACCUGUUCUUAAUACCAAUUUCCCUUGGUGCUUGCUUUCUUGAUUAUAGUUGAAAGAAAUUUAUAACAAAUCUAUCUUCUGUUUUCGCUUCUACGUACCUAUAAAUUUCUACUACAUUUAUAUAUUUGUAUCUCCAGACUGAAAAGCAAGAUAAACCUGAAGGCAAACUUAUCGUACCAGAAUAAAACUCUUUACUCCUGGGACUGGCCAAAACAACAAUCUAUGAAAAAUGCAAAACAGCAACAGGUCUUGUUUUUAAACUGUUUCGCCAAAUAUUUUUGUGCUGAGAACCUGAUCACUGAAGAUGCUAAAGUGCUGCUGGCUGCCCUGAAUGCCUCCCAGUCUCUGACUGGGACUGUCCCAGUUGGUGCUCAGCUUCUUGCAGAAGUGGACCCCUUAAGAGUUUGCAUACAACUAACUAAACACUAGUAAGAUCCUCUGUUUUAGUUUUCCAACACCUGAAUGAUUUAUGGGCAGAAAGUAGGUCUACUGCAAAUUCAUAAUUGAUGCGUCUCUUUUGAUACGCAGUCUAACAAAUGAAAAAAAAUAUUUAAAAUACAAUUGAUUUGUUACUUGUUAUGGACUGGAAGAAGACUUCCAAAAGACUGUCAUGUUUUCUGGCUUGCCCUGAGAUACAGUUCUAUCUAGAAGAUCCGAGAUCCAAACCAUUCAUACCUUCACCUAAAUAAAAACAAAAGCCAUCUUCUUCCCUUGGGUCCUGGUGAUACACACACCCCAGCCAUCCCAGUUAUGUGGGACACAUUAAACUGUUUUGACUUGGUUACUUCUAAACAAAACCAAUGAAAUUCAGUUGCUUAUAAAAAAAUGAGACGGAGGCCCUCUUUUUCUCUCCUCCACAUCACUGCUUUAAUCCCUGCUAUGACCAGGUGGGUGUAGCAAUGACUGUAGCUCCUCAACCUGAUGAAAAUAGUGUUGCAUUCAGAAAUUCGAUAAAUGAAUGGGAGGGACAAGUAAUGCUUCCCCCCCCCCCCCCCCCCCCCCCCGGAUGUUUUGUUAAUUAAAUUAGCAUUUAAAUAGCCAGAGCUAAUCUGGGAAGUCAGGCCCUCAUUACAGUAACUAGGAAGGGGGAAAAGAGCUGCAGACAAUUCCCUACAAGAUGGGGUUAAGUUGGCGUUUCACAAACUAUUUGCCCAGCCUGUCCCUCCCAAGUGAAAGCUGCCACCCCCCCCACCCCACCCCCCCUUUCCUCCCAGAAUAAUUAGCAUGUUCCAGUGCUGUGAAUGGAAACAAUAUCCUCCCUCCAAGCUGUGCCCCUCCAGGGAGAUGCUUCCCACAGAUUGUGAAACUCUGAGCCAGGGAAAGGGCUUGCCGAGGAAUUCACAGUGGGGUAAUUACACUGAGGUAGCUUGUGCCCGGUGCAAGAUAAGUUGCAUUACUGUAAUUCAUUGCAGGAGGCAGGGGCUCGCAUAAAGGAAAUGUCCAGAGGCAAGACUGCAGAGCCAUGAGAAGUCAUUGCCUUCCCAGAGCCCCGAUAAAACCCGACGUUGAAGCUGAGGAUGGUUCUUUGGCCUCCGAGGAUGUCUCCGUCUUCAGAGAAGUUUGCAGAACGUAGCAACGAUCACGUGCGAAUCUGGUUUCUCUUUGGCAAUUAGAAUGGAAGAAAGGUUGAAAGGGUGACUCAACAGAAAAAACAUCACCCUCCACUUGCGGCUCAUCAUGCCCAGCUGUAAAGCGGGGAUUAUAUUUAUCUCCAUUGCAAAGUACUCGGUUUCAGAAGACGCUGGUGCGGUUUGCUGAGGCCCCGGCUGGAAAAUACCACAAGAAGUUCAAAGCCCGGUUUCAUCCUGUAAUUGGAUCCUCAAGUCCACAAGUGCAAGAACCAACUGUGCGGGCUGAAAGCAGGUCCUCCCCUCUCCCAACAAGAACCCCACCACAACACGGGGCUGUGGGGCUGAGCUGCAAGCGUGGCAUACCCAGGAGCUGCUACUUUCUGCUGCUAUGCACAAAAAAAUGUUGUUUAAAGCUUUUGCCACCCUGUUUGAUCUGACCUGCUGUUAUUUUUUCUUUCUUUUUUUUUUUUUUUUAACUCUAAGACAUCUUCUUAACUCUCAUGCUCACUUGGGAUGCUCUUAAGAACAUGGACUUUAAUCCCAGUGUUACUUAAAUACCAAUUUAAUAUUUGUUUUCUCUCUGCCUUGACAAGAUAUUCCUCAGGUCAAGCAGGCAUGAAAUGAUAGAUAUUGAGUGCAAUUCUUCUGGGCAAGAAGAGCUACCUUCUAAAAUCUUAUCUCAAAACCACUUGGAAAUGUGUUCUUUAUUUAUUUAUGCCAUAAAAUCUCAUUCGAUGUUGAAGGCCCAAAGGAUUACAAUUCUGAAUUGGUUGGUUUGCUGUUUUGUUUUUUUUUUUUUUUUCUUUCCCCCUGUCCUUGCUGAAAUCUGGCCUUUCAAAAUAACACAGAGAGAAUCUUUGUUUUGAUCUAAAAUAGCAGCUGCAAGGGCUUUCAACCAUGACCAUUUAAAUGAGAUUUCUUUUUUUGCAUCUUCGCAUUAUAGUUUCAUUCUCGGUCUCUGAGAUCAGUAGCUGCGGUUGAGCAGCCGAGCCGUCUAAUGGGAAUAAAUUGUAAUAUUGUUCCAA